UUAUGCAACUCAGAUUCUUUAAACGAAGCCCAUAAACAACAAGAGUCAUUGGUCAUUACAAUGUAAGAUGAAUCUAUAGCUCACCACAAGAAAGUGUGUCCAGUACAUUGGAUCAUAUUCUAGAAUUACAUUGGAUCAUAUUUUAGAAUUGAAAAAUGUGUCACAAAACUAUCAUCAUACUCUAACAAAAGUUGUGAUUCAGUUCCUUCUUUGCUUUGUGUUUCCCUUCUUCCAUUUCUUAUUCGUAACAGCUCUGUUCUUCUCCUCGAUUUCCU
RNAcentral lists this long non-coding RNA (275 nucleotides) under Capsella rubella. RNAcentral's name for it is "long non-coding RNA (CRUB_LNC004147)". The record is from RNAcentral. Lineage: Eukaryota; Viridiplantae; Streptophyta; Magnoliopsida; Brassicales; Brassicaceae.